AUGGACCGGUCACGUUCUGCCGUCCUCGUCCUCGUCGUCGCCUUCUUCCUCCUGUGCGCGUCCGCCAAGGACCAGCUGGCCGUGGGGGAGAAGCUCCUGGCCGGACAGUCCCUCGUGUCCGACGGCGGCGCCUUCGCUCUCGGCUUCUUCUCCCCAGACGACGCCGCUGGCCCGGCGAGACGGUAUCUUGGCAUAUGGUACAACGGCAUCCCCGGGCCUCGCACCGUCGUCUGGGUGGCCAACCGGGGCGCCCCGGCCGCCAGCGCCCCGACGCUCGCGCUGGCCAACGACUCCCGCCUCGUCAUGUCCGACGCCGACGGCCGCGUGCUCUGGAACACGACCGUCGCGGUCAGUUCAUCACCACAGGCGCCGGCAGCGGCCGUGCUGACGAACGAGGGCGACCUGGUCGUCCAGCGAGCGAACGGCCCCGCGUUGUGGCAGAGCUUCGACCACCCGACGGAUACGUUCAUUCCGGGGAUGAAGAUGCGGCUGAGCCGCCGGACGGGAAAGGGCGACCGCAUCGUGUCCUGGAAAUCCUCCGGCGACCCGGCGCCGGGGCGCUUUUCCUACGGCCUGGACCCCCGCACGUCGCUGCAGCUGCUCAUGUGGAACGGGACGCGCCCCUACUGGCGCACGCCCGUCUGGACGGGGCACGCCGUGACCAGCAUGUACGUCAGCGCCGGCACGAUACUCUACACGGCGAUCGUCCUGACCGAGGAGGAGAUCUCCGUGGCCAUCACCGUUUCCAGUGGCGCGGCGCCUACACGGUACGUGGUGACCAGCUCCGGCAGGUUCCAGCUCCUCAGCUUGGACGGCGCCGCGUCGACCUGGGACAUGCUCCAGUCGUGGCCGACGAGCGGGUGCAGCACGUACAGGGACUGCGGUGCGUACGGGUACUGCGACGUUACGGUGGCUCCCGCGGCGUGCAGGUGCCUCGAUGGCUUCGAGCCGGCGAGUCCGGCGGAGUGGACAGCUUUCAGUUUCGAGCAAGGGUGCCGGCGGAAGGAGGCGCUGCCGCCGUGCGGACGCGGCAGCAUAGGAGUGGGUUUCAUAGCGAUGCCUACGAUGAACGUGCCGGACAAGUUCUCGCUCGACUCCGGCAACCGGAGCGCGGAGGAGUGCGCGGCGAGGUGCGCCGCCAACUGCUCGUGCAUGGCGUACGCCAACCUGCAGAGCAGCAGCGCCAUGGGGGACGUGAGCCGGUGCAUCGUGUGGGCAGGGGAGCUCGUCGACGCGCAGAUGAUCGGCUGGGGCGGCGAGACGCUCUACCUCCGCGUGCCCGUUGCUGCUGCCUCCACAGUGCCGGUGUUAGCCCUGCCGAACAGAGGUGGAAAGUCCAGCAGAAAUGUAGUGAAAAUAGCACUGCCGGUGCCAGCAUCUGUCCUAUUGCUCACAUGCAUUUUCUUUGUAUGGUUGUGGAGAUUCAGAGAUAGGAGAAAGAAAACCGUGAGCCAGAAGAAGCUAAUGCCCGGGACGGGAACCACAAACACAUGGAGCGAAAUCGAAGGAGAUCACACGGUAGACCUUGAGUUCCCCUCUAUACGGCUCACCGACAUCGUCGCGGCCACCGGCAACUUCUCGGAAACACUCAUGAUCGGACGCGGAGGCUUCGGCAAAGUCUACAAGGGAACACUAUACGGCGGUCAGGUGGUCGCUGUGAAGAGGCUGAGCAAGGACUCGGACCAGGGAGCAGAGGAGUUCAAGAACGAGGCCAUUCUGAUCGCCAAGUUGCAGCACCGGAACCUGGUCCGCCUCCUCGGCUGCUGCACCGAGGAGGCCGAGAAACUUCUCAUCUAUGAGUACCUGCCCAACAAGGGCCUCAACGCCAUUCUCUUUGACAGUGCGAGGAAAUCAGCCUUGGAUUGGCCUACUAGGCUGGGGAUCAUCAAGGGUGUGGCCAGGGGGCUGCUCUACCUCCACCAGGACUCGAGGCUGACGGUGAUACAUCGGGACCUCAAGGCCAGCAACGUGCUGCUGGACGCCGAGAUGCGGCCCAAGAUCGCCGACUUUGGCAUGGCCAAGAUCUUCGCUGACAACCAAGUCAAAGCCAACACCAAGCGCGUUGUCGGGACAUAUGGCUACAUUGCUCCCGAGUACUCGGCGGAGGGAGUCUUCUCUGUCAAGUCCGACGUGUACAGCUUUGGUGUGCUGCUGCUGGAGAUGAUGAGCGGCGUCAGGAUAAGCACAACCGAGGGCAUCAUGGAGUUUCCCAGCCUGACAGUCUAUGCAUGGAGCCUGUGGAGGGAAGGGAAGGCAGGUAAGCUGGUGGAUCCAUCCAUGGCAGGGAGCUGUUCACAGGAUGAGGCUUUGCUGUGCAUCCACGUCGGGCUCCUCUGCGUCGAGGACGACCCGAGCAGGAGGCCACUCAUGUCCUCCGUCGUGUCCAUCUUAGAGAACGGAAGUGCAUCGUCGACGGUGUCACUAUCCCUCCCAACGCCAGUGCAGCCUGGUUUUUUCGAAAUGAUGGGACAGAAGAUCGAGAGAAGCGAUCUCGAGAACACCAGGAACACCAUGGCCAUGACAGUUCUGCAAGGCAGAGAAGUUAUGCAUUACACAUUCAGAGGUUCAGAGAAACAAGUAGUUAAGCUGAAGAACAGAGAUGCCUUGGCACCUCGUCCUGUCCGACGCCGACGGCCGCGUGCUCUGGACCACGCCCGGCGCGGGCAGAUCGUCCUCGCAGGCCGCGACGGCAACCUGCUCAUCCAGCUGCCGGACGGCACGGUGGUGUGGCAGAGCUUCGACCACCCGACGGACACGUUCCUGCCGAGGAUGGAGGUGCGGCUGAGCCACACGGGCAAGGCUGGCUGGCUCGUCCCCUGGAGGUCUCCACGCGACCCGGCGCCGGGGCGCUUCUCCUACGGCCUGGACCCCAGCACGUCGCUGCAGCUGCUCAUGUGGAACGGCACGCGCCCCUACUGGUGCAAUCCCGUCUGGACGGGGCACGCCGUCUCCAGCAGCUACAUCAGCGCCGGCACGGUCAACACGGCGGUCGUGGCCACCGAGGAGGAGAUCGCCAUCACCUUCACGCCCACGCGGUACGUGCUGACCAGCUCCGGCAGCCUCCAGCUUCUCAGCUGGAACGGCACCACGUCUGCCUGGGACACGCUCCAGUCGUGGCCGUCGAGCGGGUGCAGCAGCUAUGGGCACUGCAGCGCGUACGGGUACUGCGACGUCACGGCGGCGCCGGCGGCGUGCAGGUGCCUCGAUGGGUUCGGCCGGCGAGUGCGGCGGAGUGGAGCGCCGGCAGGCAACCGGAGCGCGGAGGAGUGCGCGGCGAGGUGCGCAGCCAGCUGCUCGUGUGUGGCCUACGCAUACGCGGGUGAACUGGGCCGGUGCCUGGUGUGGGCAGGGGAGCUCGUGGACGCACAGAUGAUCGGCGCGCCCGGCGAGACGCUCUACCUCCGCGUGCCGGUUGCUGCUGCUUCCACAGGUAGAAAUGCAGUGAAGAUAGCAGUGCCGGUGUUGGCAGCUGCCCUGCUGCUCUCAUGCAUUUUCUUCGUAUGGUUUCGUAGAUUCAGAGGCAACUUCUCCAAGACAUUCAUGAUUGGCCGUGGAGGCUUUGGCAAUGUCUAUAAGGGGACGUUGGAAGGCGGUCAUGUGGUUGCUGUGAAGAGACUGAGCAAGGAUUCAGGGCAGGGAGGAAAUCUGUGCUGGACUGGCCGACGAGGCUGGGGAUCAUCAAGGUUGGUAGCGAGGGGGCUGCUCUACCUCCACCAGGACUCGAGGCUGACGGUGAUACACAGGGACCUCAAGGCCAGCAACGUCCUUUUAGACGCCGAGAUGCGGCCCAAGAUCGCCGACUUCGGCAUGGCCAAGAUCUUCGGCGACAACCAGGUCAAAGCCAACAGCAAGCGCGUCGUUGGAACAUACGGCUACAUUGCCCCCGAGUACUCGACGGAGGGUGUCUUCUCAGUUAAGUCCGACGUGUACAGCUUCGGCGUGCUGCUGCUGGAGAUCGUGAGCGGCGUUAGGAUAAGCGCAACCAAGGGCAUCAUGGAGUUCCCUAGCUUGAUAGUCUAUGCAUGGCACCUGUGGAGGGAAGGGAAGGCAGUCAAGCUGGUGGAUCCAUCCAUGGCAGAGAGCUGUUCGCAGGAUGAGGCAUUGCUCUGCAUCCACGUCGGCCUCCUGUGCGUGGAGGACGACCCGAGCAGGAGGCCCCUCAUGUCGUCCGUUGUGUCCAUCUUGGAGAACGGAAGCGCGUCGGUGGUGGCAUCGGCGUCUCUCCCGGCGCCGAACCAGCCAGGGUACGUCGGAAUGAUGGAAGAGAAGAUCCAGAGAACCGAUCUCGAGAACAGCAGGAACACCAUUGCCAUGACCGUUCUGCAAGGCCGGUAG
RNAcentral lists this ribosomal RNA (4335 nucleotides) under Triticum aestivum (bread wheat). RNAcentral's name for it is "partial small subunit ribosomal RNA". The record is from RNAcentral. Lineage: Eukaryota; Viridiplantae; Streptophyta; Magnoliopsida; Poales; Poaceae.